AUUGAACGCUGGCGGCAGGCCUAACACAUGCAAGUCGAGCGAGCGGCGGACGGGUGAGUAAUGUCUGGGAAACUGCCUGAUGGAGGGGGAUAACUACUGGAAACGGUAGCUAAUACCGCAUACCAUCAGAUGUGCCCAGAUGGGAUUAGCUAGUAGUUGGGGUAACGGCUCACCUAGGCGACGAUCCCUAGCUGGUCUGAGAGGAGGAGCAGCCACAAUGGGCGUGAGACCCGGUCCAGAGUCCUACGGGAUGACGCAGUGCGGAAUAUUGCAUAAUGGGCGCAAGCCUGAUGCAGCCAUGCCGAGUGUGUGAAGAAGGCCUUCGGGUUGUAAAGCCCAUUCAGCGGGGAAGCGUUACCCGCCGAAGAAGCACCGGCUAACUCCGUGCCCGCCGCCGCGGUAAUUC
This 406-nucleotide ribosomal RNA is filed under the name uncultured bacterium. RNAcentral's name for it is "partial 16S ribosomal RNA". It matches the Rfam family "Bacterial small subunit ribosomal RNA", at positions 30 to 526 of the family's 1533-position model. The record is from RNAcentral.